This 440-nucleotide ribosomal RNA is filed under the name uncultured bacterium. RNAcentral's name for it is "partial 16S ribosomal RNA". It matches the Rfam family "Bacterial small subunit ribosomal RNA", at positions 338 to 795 of the family's 1533-position model. The record is from RNAcentral.
CCUACGGGAGGCUGCAGUGGGGAAUAUUGCACAAUGGGGGAAACCCUGAUGCAGCGACGCCGCGUGAGUGAAGAAGUAUCUCGGUACGUAAAGCUCUAUCAGCAGGGAAGAAAAUGACGGUACCUGACUAAGAAGCCCCGGCUAACUACGUGCCAGCAGCCGCGGUAAUACGUAGGGGGCAAGCGUUAUCCGGAUUUACUGGGUGUAAAGGGAGCGUAGACGGCAGCACAAGUCUGGAGUGAAAUCCCGGGCCUUAACCCCGGAACUGCUUUGGAAACUGUGCGGCUGGAGUGCAGGAGGGGUAAGCGGAAUUGCUAGUGUAGCGGUGAAAUGCGUAGAUAUUAGAAGGAACACCAAUAGCGUAGGCAGGUUACUGGGACGGUUCUGACACUAAGGCACGAAAGCGUAGGGAGCAAACGGGAUUAGAUACCCCUGUAGUC